CAAACGGUCCUUUUCAGGACCACCGAAAAAAAAAAUCCUCAAGAGUU
Molecule: non-coding RNA, 47 nt
Organism: Aedes albopictus (Asian tiger mosquito)
Lineage: Eukaryota; Metazoa; Arthropoda; Insecta; Diptera; Culicidae
Source: Rfam